Ostertagia ostertagi is the source of this 72-nucleotide non-coding RNA. The record is from the annotation of a GenBank genome assembly. Lineage: Eukaryota; Metazoa; Nematoda; Chromadorea; Rhabditida; Trichostrongylidae.
GCUACGGUAGUGCAAUUAGUAGCACAAGUGACCGAAAAGCGAGAAGCGCAGGUUCGAUUCCCGCCCAAGGCA